UUGGAUGUGUGGAAGUCAGAAGACUGC
This 27-nucleotide non-coding RNA is filed under the name Rattus norvegicus (Norway rat). Lineage: Eukaryota; Metazoa; Chordata; Mammalia; Rodentia; Muridae. The record is from RNAcentral.